AACGCACAUUGCGCCCGCCAGCACUCUGGCGGGCAUGCCUGUUCGAGCGUCAUUAUCAACCCUCAAGCCCCAGCGGGCUUGGUGUUGGGGACCGGCGGGACCCAGCCUCUGCAGCAGCAAGGCGUGGGCUCGCCGCCCCCGAAAUGAAUUGGCGGUCCCGUCGCGGCCUCCUCUGCGUAGUAGCACAACCUCGCAGCCGGGAGCGCGGCGCGACCACUGCCGUAAAACGCCCUUCUAGAGUUGACCUCGAAUCAGGUAGGAGUACCCGCUGAACUUAA
This 278-nucleotide unclassified non-coding RNA is filed under the name uncultured fungus. RNAcentral describes it as "sequence contains ITS2". Lineage: Eukaryota; Fungi. The record is from RNAcentral.